CCUACGGGAGGCAGCAGUAGGGAAUCUUCCGCAAUGGGCGAAAGCCUGACGGAGCAACGCCGCGUGAGUGAUGAAGGUCUUCGGAUCGUGAAACUCUGUUAUUAGGGAAGAACAAAUGUGUAAGUAACUAUGCACGUCUUGACGGUACCUAAUCAGAAAGCCACGGCUAACUACGUGCCAGCAGCCGCGGUAAU
RNAcentral lists this ribosomal RNA (194 nucleotides) under uncultured bacterium. RNAcentral's name for it is "partial 16S ribosomal RNA". It matches the Rfam family "Bacterial small subunit ribosomal RNA", at positions 338 to 524 of the family's 1533-position model. The record is from RNAcentral.